UUCAGUUAGCCUCACUGAGGACUUACACCUUUCUGGGGGGACAAGGACAGGGUGAGAAGCUGCUGAGAGGGAAAGACAGAGAAUACCCUGAGCUGAAGUUGAUGCAGAAGAUUGUUUUUCCCAUGCACAUGGACAAAUUUUACACUUCUCUUGAGGGGAAGGUCAUAGGUACAACAUGACUGUUUAACAUGGUUAACAGAGGCACAGGAGAGUCAGAGUAAGAGCCAUGGGCAGAAGAUCCCACAGCCUGGGCCAUAUAAUGCAGCACUGUGGAUUCUUCCCUCUUCAAAGGAAAAAAAAAAGCCAGCCCUCUGGAGGGGCCUGAACCUUUCCUGUAGCAGUCAGUGGCUGUCAUUGCCAAAAAUAUAAUUCCUCAUGCUCCCUUGAACAGUACCUUUUCAGUCAUGCUUGUAACUAUUAAGAAGCAAAGCACUGCCCCUGCCUGCCAGGGAGGAGAUGUCCCCACUUUGCCACAGACCCCUUUAGAAAUGUCACAAAUGUUUGGUUUCUGUAUUAACACCUUUAGGAAACAAGGACCUUCAUCUACAGGCCAACACCUUGUGCAUUUUUGAGCACUCAGUCAUAAAAUCACAUCUGUGCACAAGAAGAGCAUGAGAAGGCCAUUUUAAUGACUUUUUUUAACCUAAAGGGAGCUUACACCAUCUGUCCUGCUGACAGGUUUGCUGAGGAGACACAUCCAUGGUUUGUCAGCUGGGUUACACACAUACACUUGUGAAUCCAAUCCACAAAUGGGAUACUUCUUUCUUAUGCCAAGGGUACUCACUACUUUAAUUGAAAAUAAAACAGAGAUUAUCCAUAUCUGUAAUCAUAGUUUCAAACAGCCACCAGGUUUCCCCCAAAGGUGCCUGUGCUCCAGGGUAUGGAAGACAAACAUUUCAUGAGCUUUACAUUUCCAGUAUGUGACAAGCCAAAAGUCAAUACAAUGUACAGCAACAGAGUGGCAGAGCAUUAAGCGAGUGUUGGGCAUCCUUUUGUGUUUCCACCAAGAUUUUCUUCUUCCAUUCAAAAGAAGCAGAGGUGUCCAUGAUGAUUUUCUUGCACGUGGUUUUAGUAGUGCUUUGUUUAAUAGAAGAAACUGCCCAACUCUUGCAUGCCACAUGUAAAUGGAAGUGUCUACAGACACACUUCUUGACUUUUUACAGAAAAAGACUCAUCUGCAUCUCUAAUUCAGAAACUCUAUUUCAUUGGCCCUUCUCCAUGUCCAGCAGCUGGCUGUGAUGAUGAAGACCCCCAGCACAGUGCCCCUCUCCUUCCUGAGAGUUCAUAUGGAUCUCAAAGCAGUGUCUCCACUGUGGAGGCAAAUACUCUCUUGGCUUCACUAUUUACUUCCAUGAACAGAAGAAUCCUCAGGUGGAGGAACCAAUGCCUUUACUGCAAGUGAUACCAUUCAAGCUUUCUGCAGGGAGCCAAACUGGAGUAUAAUGAUUCCAUUGAAGAGUACCUCAGAGAAAGUGGAUGGAGUAAUGCAAGAGAAAUGAAGACUGAAAGCAGAAGCUGACAUUUCAUCUUGCAUUAUAGCCCAUGGGACAGAAGGCACAAAUACAGUAAAUUAUCUCUAGGAGACUCUUCUUCCUAGAAUGAAUGACUUCAAAGGCUCUAGCAAUACAAUGAAAUGAAUGAAAGAUUCCCCCUGUCUUUAGAGGACUGAGUAAUAACUUACAUGCUUCUUUGUACAGCAAUGCUUUAGUCAAUAUUUAUACAACA
Vidua macroura (Pin-tailed whydah) is the source of this 1725-nucleotide long non-coding RNA. RefSeq lists it as uncharacterized. The transcript has 3 exons. Lineage: Eukaryota; Metazoa; Chordata; Aves; Passeriformes; Viduidae. The record is from RefSeq and is a predicted model, not a curated record.